RNAcentral lists this non-coding RNA (115 nucleotides) under Bacillus sp. (in: firmicutes). Its description in RNAcentral is "Bacillus sp. SAM-I sequence". It matches the Rfam family "SAM riboswitch aptamer (S box leader)". Rfam says of the family: The SAM riboswitch is found upstream of a number of genes which code for proteins involved in methionine or cysteine biosynthesis in Gram-positive bacteria. The SAM riboswitch acts at the level of transcription termination control. Lineage: Bacteria; Bacillati; Bacillota; Bacilli; Caryophanales; Bacillaceae. The record is from RNAcentral.
UUCUUAUCAAGAGAGGUUGAGGGAAAGGCCCGAUGACACCUCAGCAACCUUCAAUGGAUGAUCCAUUGAAAAGGUGCUAAUUCCUGCAAAUUAAUGUUAAUUUGCGAGAUAAGAA